Molecule: ribosomal RNA, 331 nt
Filed under: uncultured bacterium
Lineage: Bacteria
Description: bacterial SSU rRNA
Rfam family: Bacterial small subunit ribosomal RNA
Source: RNAcentral
CGCGUAGGCGGCGCACCAAGUCAGGCGUGAAAGCCCUGGGCUCAACCCGGGAAUUGCGCUUGAGACUGGUGUGCUCGAGUACGGGAGAGGAUAGUGGAAUUCCCAGUGUAGAGGUGAAAUUCGUAGAUAUUGGGAAGAACACCGGUGGCGAAGGCGGCUAUCUGGACCGUAACUGACGCUGAGGCGCGAAAGCGUGGGGAGCAAACAGGAUUAGAUACCCUGGUAGUCCACGCCGUAAACGAUGAGUGCUAGACGUUGGGGCCCUUAGGGCUUCGGUGUCGCCGCUAACGCAUUAAGCACUCCGCCUGGGGAGUACGGCCGCAAGGUUAAA